ACAGCCUUCUGAAAGGAAGAUUAAUACAAGAUGGCAUCAUGAGUCCGCAUGUUCACAUGAUUAAAGGUAUUCCGGUAGACGAUGGGGAUGCGUUCCAUUAGAUAGUAGGCGGGGUAACGGCCCACCUAGUCUUCGAUGGAUAGGGGUUCUGAGAGGAAGGUCCCCCACAUUGGAACUGAGACACGGUCCAAACUCCUACGGGAGGCAGCAGUGAGGAAUAUUGGUCAAUGGGCGAGAGCCUGAACCAGCCAAGUAGCGUGAAGGAUGACUGCCCUAUGGGUUGUAAACUUCUUUUAUAAAGGAAUAAAGUCGGGUAUGCAUACCCGUUUGCAUGUACUUUAUGAAUAAGGAUCGGCUAACUCCGUGCCAGCAGCCGCGGUAAUACGGAGGAUCCGAGCGUUAUCCGGAUUUAUUGGGUUUAAAGGGAGCGUAGAUGGAUGUUUAAGUCAGUUGUGAAAGUUUGCGGCUCAACCGUAAAAUUGCAGUUGAUACUGGAUAUCUUGAGUGCAGUUGAGGCAGGCGGAAUUCGUGGUGUAGCGGUGAAAUGCUUAGAUAUCACGAAGAACUCCGAUUGCGAAGGCAGCCUGCUAAGCUGCAACUGACAUUGAGGCUCGAAAGUGUGGGUAUCAAACAGGAUUAGAUACCCUGGUAGUCCACACGGUAAACGAUGAAUACUCGCUGUUUGCGAUAUACAGCAAGCGGCC
This 704-nucleotide ribosomal RNA is filed under the name uncultured bacterium. RNAcentral's name for it is "bacterial SSU rRNA". It matches the Rfam family "Bacterial small subunit ribosomal RNA", at positions 143 to 848 of the family's 1533-position model. The record is from RNAcentral.